CUAGAUCCUGCAGUCACUUCCUGCUGACCCCUGGCCCCAUUGAUUUCCGUCUAUGAAGUUGCUCUUAUGACUUUCGCUGGUCAUAAGAUGUGCGGAACUAUUAUGGUAAAGAGUUCUAACUCGGCUUUCAGGCUUCAUGUGUUCGUGUUCUGGCUUAGCUGCUGACCAGCUUAGGCAACUAUCUCUGCCUUAGUUUCUUUCAUUUUUUAAAUGAGAGAAUACUGAAUGCCCUUAUAGCUUCUUCUUCUUGUGAGAAUGUAAUUAGACACGUCACACAGGUUGUUUGGCACCAUAGCAAUCACUCAGUAAAUGUCAGAUAUUACUAGUUAACUUUUUUUAUGUUUAUUUAUUUUGAGAGAGCAUGAGGGGGGGAGUGGCAGGGUGGGAGAACAGAGGAUCUGAAGCAGGCUCCGUGCUGACAGCAGAAAGCCCCAUGUAGGGCUCAAACUUAACCAAUGGUGAGACCAUGACAGCUGAAAUCAAGAGUCCCACAUCGGGGGCGCCUGGGUGGCUUAGUGGGUUAAGCGUCCGACUUUGGCUCAGGUCAUGAUCUCGCAGUUCGUGGCUUCAAGCCCUGCGUCCCUGCGUCGGGCUCUGUGCUGACAGCUCAGAGCCUGGAGGCUGGUUUGGAUGCUGUGUCUCCUUCUCUUUCUGUUCCUCCCCUGCUCGCGCUCUGUCUCUC
Molecule: long non-coding RNA, 682 nt
Organism: Acinonyx jubatus (cheetah)
Lineage: Eukaryota; Metazoa; Chordata; Mammalia; Carnivora; Felidae
Exons: 2
Source: RefSeq, a predicted model, not a curated record